GAAGAACGAAUCUCGGCAACGGAAUUUUGGGUUUUCGCAUCGAUGAAGAACGUAGCGAAAUGCGAUACUUGGUGUGAAUUGCAGAAUCCCGUGAACCAUCGAGUCUUUGAACGCAAGUUGCGCCCGAAGCCAUCACCUCGAGGGCACGUCUGCCUGGGCGUCACACGC
RNAcentral lists this ribosomal RNA (168 nucleotides) under Ficus trachypison. RNAcentral's name for it is "5.8S ribosomal RNA". It matches the Rfam family "5.8S ribosomal RNA". Rfam says of the family: 5.8S ribosomal RNA (5.8S rRNA) is a component of the large subunit of the eukaryotic ribosome. It is transcribed by RNA polymerase I as part of the 45S precursor that also contains 18S and 28S rRNA. The record is from RNAcentral. Lineage: Eukaryota; Viridiplantae; Streptophyta; Magnoliopsida; Rosales; Moraceae.